AACUGACGCCCUUCUCCGAAAUUGUUGACCUUCACUUAAAAUAUGAAUCCAUUAUUAUUAUUAUUAUUAUUAUUAUUAUUAUUAUAACUACACAAAUU
Octopus sinensis (East Asian common octopus) is the source of this 98-nucleotide long non-coding RNA. RefSeq lists it as uncharacterized. The record is from RefSeq and is a predicted model, not a curated record. The transcript is spliced from 3 exons. Lineage: Eukaryota; Metazoa; Mollusca; Cephalopoda; Octopoda; Octopodidae.